Molecule: long non-coding RNA, 3033 nt
Organism: Astyanax mexicanus (Mexican tetra)
Lineage: Eukaryota; Metazoa; Chordata; Actinopteri; Characiformes; Acestrorhamphidae
Exons: 3
Source: RefSeq, a predicted model, not a curated record
UGACAACGCAUCUGUUCAUCACACAUCCAGCUAAUUGUGGACACGAACCACUUAAAUCCUAAAGUCUGUUACAUAUGGGUUGUGCAAGUUACACUAAUGGCCGUCUGGAGAACUUUAGUAGAGAUAUAAGGAGUGCAGGCAUUCUGCCGUAUUUACCUGUCGAGUGAAGUCGAUUCCGUUUUGUUCGAUAUCUGUGGGAAGAAGGGAAUAUUGUCAAAUGGAGAAAUACACAAUAUUAAAAACUUGUGUAUAAAAACUAAACAAACCUUUGCACCAUGGGAAAGAACAGCUUGUGUUUUCCCCAAAAACAAUUGAUGUUUGUUAAAGAACCAUUGUUGUAAAUGAGACUUUAAGAAGAACGUUUUUUUCAAAUGUUAAAAAAGAUUUAGAAAAUGAAUUAGACAUUUAAAGAUGUUAUACGUUUUUUUUGUGUAUGCUUCAAUAAAGAAACAAAGACUGAUUAGUUCUUUAGAUAAUUGGUUUUGAAAAUAUUAUGUGUAUCUGUGAAGGAUCUUAAAGAAACUUCCAUAUAAUGUAAAGGGUAUAGGAGUAUUGUUUUCUUUUAAACCUUUAAAAAAACAUUUUUUUUUUACUAGUGCUUGGCAAAAUUACCUUAAACUGAUUAUUUUAAUGAUUGACAAAAACAGUUUUUUCUUUGGUAGAAACAUUUGUAAUUAUUUUUAAAGUAGUAUUAUUAACAGCAGGGCUUGUACAGGCUUGAAGGCAUGGAAAAGUCAUGAAAAUCAUGGAAAUUUAUUGGUUAAAAGUGUAUGAACAAAUGAAAAAAUAUGUAACCACAAUAAUUAUGUUUGUUAUUUUAGUUAGAUGUGAACUUUGGUUUAGAUUUUUGUUCAUUUUGAAUAUAUUGCUCAGUCCUUUUCCUCAUCAUUUCAAUUUUUAUCUCCAGACAUGGUUCAAGGACAUUUUUAUCAUUAUGUAAAGAAACUUUGGUGGUUCCUGUGGAGUUUAGAUUUGUGUAGUUCUGUUGUCAUUUUUAAAUUGUUCUUUCAACAAUCAGUUAUGGUAAGAUUCUUUUAUUUUUAACAGCAUUCUGAACAUGAUACUCUCUCUGAAUUGUCUCUUUCUAACGCCUAAAUGUUUUAUUCUUGUCAGUGUUCAUCUCUCCAGGACUAUGGGGGGCUUAUAGCGGCGAAUUCCGUUCACCUUGUGCAGUGGCUGUGGGGGUUCAAAGGUCUCCAGUGGCAGGUAAUCUCUCCUGAUUUGACAUUCAAAUGGGCCUGUGUGAGGCUGUGGUUAGCGCAUCAGUGCACGCUCGUCCCGCGCUAUGGAAAUCGGCCCUCCUCCCCGAGCCAAACUUCCAGUAUGGAAAUGAAUCACCUAUGCAAAUUUUCAGGUAUCCACGGCAACCUUUUUCAGGCCCUAGUAUUUGAAUGUUUACAAACCCCCAGGUGCAUCUCUUAGUUGUUUCUUCUCGUUUGUGGUCUUUUUCUUACUCGCCUCUUUCUUUUUCUCUCUUUCUUACAUACACACACACAGACACACACGUAUACAUACUCACAACCAGCACAUGCAUUUAUACAAACAUCAAAAUAUUGCCUCAAAACUUUGGCUGAAACUUGUUCUAACCAAAAGAAGGUUGAAGAACCCACAUUUCAGAUUCAACAUUUGUCUAUUUGUGAUAGCUCUAGGGACAUCUAAUUGUAUUCGCCCACAACACAGUAAUUUAUAGGUAAAUCUUGAUUGGAAAUUCUGGCCCAGGAUUUGUUAGAGAGUGUAGAGGGCUACGUUCAUGUUCACCAGGCUGAAAUGACUCAAAUUCUUCUUUUUUUUUUAAUUUGCCCAAAUGUGACAGAUCUAUUUUUGCCCAGAUUGGAUAUGUAUCAGAUUUGUGGACUCCAACUUGUAACUAAUGUAAACAGUCAAAUUGUACUUACUGCAUUAUUUUUAAGACUGUAUGCAUGCACUCAGUGCUGUUGUCACCAUCAGCCAGAAACAGUGUUGUUCCGAAUUCUGACUCCCUGCCAGAAUCCACCACAGAUAGCAGAUUAUGUUUUACGUUUUGUUCAUGAAUAACUAGUAAUAGUACUAAAAGCACAUUUUGCUAGCCUGUUAGAGAACACCACUGCCAAAGCACAGAGCCAUUGCAUUAGCAAUAGUUCAGAUCCGUUUGAGAUGUAUAUAUCUCAAAGAAAGCACAUGCUAACCUCCCAGCACUGGUGUCAUUCCUAACUAGUGGAUAGAAAUCUGAAAAACAUCAAAUUGUUCUGGAAAUUGUGUUAAAAUAAAUAUGGAUGGACAGAUGACAAUAUUCUCAGGAAAACUAAUGAUUUAUGUGUUAAUAUAAAACACAAAAACAAGCAGUAUUAAUAUUGAGAGUCAUAACAACUUGUAUUUUCUGAUAUGUUAUUGUUUUCAUAAUUGUAUUUCUCCGAAAGUCUUAUUUAAUCUGCAUGUUUACAUACACAUUUUAGUAAAAUACCUUGAUGAUAAAGAAAUUGGAGCUAAUGUAAAGUUUUAAAAGUAAGGAUGCACCCUUUUCCCGUCCGAUUUUUUAAAUCACACCUCAAUACAAAGUUUACAUUUUUUCCUUUCAAAAUGUAUUUUUAUACCAUUUUUAUACCAAAGGUCAACUCUCUGAAUAAGGAUUACAACAUUGCCAGGAAAACCAAAUGUUCUGAAUGUUUCUUAGUUUGUUAUGUUCAAAUUAAAUUUAUUUGUACAGUGCCUUAGAAAAACUGAAAAACUUUACAGGAAUCUAGUAAUAGGACAAAGGAUCAACAACACAUAAAUCAAGGAUCAAGCCAACCUCAAAGUGGCAAGGAAAACUCCCUCAGUGCACUCACAAGGAAGGACUGCAACACAAAACGUUCUUUUUCCAAAUUGGGCUCUCCUGGAAUCCAAGUUCCUCAUUUCAGAAGCUGUGUUCCGUACUGAGGAUACGAUCCUGUGUUUCAGUACAGCCUCAGGUUUUCCUGUUAAAUUCCAUCAAACACUUGUUUGGUAAACAAGCUACAGGGUCGGAAAACAGCCAAAGUGAAGAACGAACUGCUUACCUGUGUGUUCAUGCGGAGG